GGGCUUUUAAAUCAUAACUUUUUACCUCCCUUAGAAAUCUGUGUUCCUACAUCUCUUGCUGACUCAGGAGACAUCACAGAACUGCUUUGCUUCUGAACCAGUUGUCCCCACUCCCCCCAUGAACCCCCGCUGGCUCUGAAAUGUACAGUCUGGGCUGCAAGAUUUAUGUAACAGAGGAUGGGCCAUUAUGUGCUGAGCAAGCUGGAGAGGCACAAGGUUGCCAAAUGGGUGUGCACCCCCUGCCCCCAAAAUGAAAGUCCAGUCUACUAUGGUUUGGCUUUCUACUACAAUAACCUAGCAAGGAACAAAGAAGCAAAGCAAUUAGUUCACAGGGCAAGGGCUGAGGAGGUGUGGAAGUCAUUUGGGACAAAAAAGCAAAAAGCUACAGAAACACUAAAGGACAAUGUGCUUCAAGGUCUGAGAAAGCAACCAAGAACUUCUCAGUGUGAAAAUGGAUUGCUUUACAGGGAUACAGUACUGCCAUUCUUUUGA
Molecule: long non-coding RNA, 492 nt
Filed under: Felis catus (domestic cat)
Lineage: Eukaryota; Metazoa; Chordata; Mammalia; Carnivora; Felidae
Description: lncRNA (ENSFCAG00000050948.1)
Source: RNAcentral